GAGGAGGCUGUGGUGAGAGACGGACAGAGACCGGAGAUGUUUUCAAGCCCGGCUCCGGCGGCGUUACAGGCGGUUGCAGCGGCGACGAAGACAACGACAGCGACGGCCACGCCGAGGCACUCGUUCCGGGGGUGAAGCCUCCUGCGCCGGCCUUGCCUCGGAUCCAGGAUGAGAAGACUGAUAAAAGAAGCUAGCUGAACAGCUAUAAAAUGCCCAAAUCUGGGUUCACAAAACCAGUUCAGAGUGAAAAUUCUGACAGUGACAGCAAUAUGGUAGAGAAACCAUAUGGAAGAAAGAGUAAAGACAAGAUUGCAUCCUACAGCAAAACUCCAAAAAUUGAACGAAGUGAUGUGAGCAAGGAGAUGAAAGAGAAAUCAUCCAUGAAACGUAAACUUCCUUUUACCAUUAGCCCAUCAAGAAAUGAAGAACGAGAUUCAGACACAGAUUCAGAUCCAGGACAUACAAGUGAAAAUUGGGGGGAGAGACUUAUAUCUUCUUACAGGACAUACUCAGAGAAAGAAGGUCCAGAAAAGAAGAAGACAAAAAAGGAAGCUGGAAAUAAGAAAUCCACACCAGUUAGCAUUCUUUUUGGUUAUCCACUCUCUGAGCGAAAACAGAUGGCACUUCUUAUGCAGAUGACAGCAAGAGACAACAGUCCAGAUUCCACACCAAAUCAUCCAUCACAAACAACGCCUGCCCAAAAGAAAACUCCCAGUUCUUCAUCUCGACAGAAAGAUAAAGUUAAUAAAAGAAAUGAACGUGGUGAAACUCCUUUACACAUGGCUGCUAUUCGAGGAGAUGUGAAACAAGUUAAAGAAUUAAUAAGUUUAGGGGCAAAUGUGAAUGUGAAAGAUUUUGCAGGUUGGACACCACUGCAUGAAGCUUGCAAUGUUGGAUAUUAUGAUGUUGCUAAGAUACUUAUAGCAGCUGGAGCAGAUGUUAACACACAAGGAUUAGAUGAUGACACUCCACUCCAUGAUUCUGCUAGUAGUGGGCACAGAGAUAUAGUAAAGCUGUUACUUCGUCAUGGUGGAAAUCCAUUUCAAGCUAAUAAACAUGGGGAGCGUCCAGUGGAUGUAGCAGAAACAGAGGAGUUGGAGUUGCUACUAAAAAGAGAGGUGCCUUUAUCUGAUGAUGAUGAAAGUUACACAGGAUCCAGCUACCAAUUUGCAGGAAAUGCCAAGCUCAGCGGAGCAAGUUGAACUAUACCAAGAGUAUGCAAUCAGCAAAUUCCAGAUUGUGAGAAAGCCAAACAGCCUUGGUUCUUUAACAGAUAUUUUGUGUGGAAAAGAAACAGAAGAAGACCGUGUAGAAAAAAAUAAAAAUGAUUUAAAA
Molecule: small RNA, 1335 nt
Filed under: Pongo abelii (Sumatran orangutan)
Lineage: Eukaryota; Metazoa; Chordata; Mammalia; Primates; Hominidae
Description: processed transcript
Source: RNAcentral